This 404-nucleotide ribosomal RNA is filed under the name uncultured bacterium. Its description in RNAcentral is "bacterial SSU rRNA". It matches the Rfam family "Bacterial small subunit ribosomal RNA", at positions 355 to 776 of the family's 1533-position model. The record is from RNAcentral.
UGAGGAAUAUUGGACAAUGGGGGCAACCCUGAUCCAGCCAUGCCGCGUGAGUGAAGAAGGCCUUAGGGUUGUAAAGCUCUUUCAAUAGUGAAGAUAAUGACGGUAGCUAUAGAAGAAGCUCCGGCUAAAUUCGUGCCAGCAGCCGCGGUAAUACGAAUGGAGCAAGCGUUGUUCGGAAUCACUGGGCUUAAAGCGUAUGUAGGCGGACUAGCAAGUCAGGAGUGAAAUCCCGGGGCUCAACCCCGGAACUGCUCUUGAAACUGCAAGUCUAGAAUCCUGGAGAGGUUGGGAGAAUUCCUAGUGUAGAGGUGAAAUUCGCAGAUAUUAGGAGGAAUACCAGUGGCGUAGGCGCCCAACUGGACAGGUAUUGACGCUCAGAUACGAAAGCGUGGGGAGCAAACAGG